GGUGAAAAGCACCCCGGAAGGGGAGUGAAAUAGAACCUGAAACCGUGUGCUUACAAGUAGUCAGAGCCCGUUAAUGGGUGAUGGCGUGCCUUUUGUAGAAUGAACCGGCGAGUUACGAUUUGAUGCAAGGUUAAGCAGUAAAUGUGGAGCCGUAGCGAAAGCGAGUCUGAAUAGGGCGUUUAGUAUUUGGUCGUAGACCCGAAACCAGGUGAUCUACCCUUGGUCAGGUUGAAGUUCAGGUAACACUGAAUGGAGGACCGAACCGACUUACGUUGAAAAGUGAGCGGAUGAACUGAGGGUAGCGGAGAAAUUCCAAUCGAACCUGGAGAUAGCUGGUUCUCUCCGAAAUAGCUUUAGGGCUAGCCUCAAGUGAUGAUUAUUGGAGGUAGAGCACUGUUUGGACGAGGGGCCCCUCUCGGGUUACCGAAUUCAGACAAACUCCGAAUGCCAAUUAAUUUAACUUGGGAGUCAGAACAUGGGUGAUAAGGUCCGUGUUCGAAAGGGAAACAGCCCAGACCACCAGCUAAGGUCCCAAAAUAUAUGUUAAGU
This 549-nucleotide ribosomal RNA is filed under the name Staphylococcus aureus. Its description in RNAcentral is "partial 23S ribosomal RNA". It matches the Rfam family "Bacterial large subunit ribosomal RNA", at positions 513 to 1064 of the family's 2925-position model. Lineage: Bacteria; Bacillati; Bacillota; Bacilli; Caryophanales; Staphylococcaceae. The record is from RNAcentral.